GGAGGAAUGAUGUCCAAUGCCAAC
RNAcentral lists this non-coding RNA (24 nucleotides) under Arabidopsis thaliana (thale cress). Lineage: Eukaryota; Viridiplantae; Streptophyta; Magnoliopsida; Brassicales; Brassicaceae. The record is from RNAcentral.